This 128-nucleotide ribosomal RNA is filed under the name uncultured bacterium. Its description in RNAcentral is "partial 16S ribosomal RNA". It matches the Rfam family "Bacterial small subunit ribosomal RNA", at positions 227 to 354 of the family's 1533-position model. The record is from RNAcentral.
GGUUCCGCGUCUGAUUAGCUAGUUGGUGGGGUAAUGGCCUACCAAGGCAACGAUCAGUAGCCGGCCUGAGAGGGUGAACGGCCACAUUGGGACUGAGACACGGCCCAAACUCCUACGGAAGGCAGCAG